RNAcentral lists this long non-coding RNA (38107 nucleotides) under Triticum aestivum (bread wheat). RNAcentral's name for it is "long non-coding RNA (TAES_LNC015171)". The record is from RNAcentral. Lineage: Eukaryota; Viridiplantae; Streptophyta; Magnoliopsida; Poales; Poaceae.
UUUUUUCAAGUUACAACUCUCGUUCUUCUGAGACUUUUAUUGGAUCGAGUUGUAAACUUAAACCCGAUGGUGCUCUGAUACUCUUGAUACGUUUUUCUACAUGCUUAUUCCUCGUUAAUAUUAUUGCACGCAUGCUGAACUACAUCAGUCACCAUAUUUCAUCAUGCAUUUCAAAUUCUUCACUAUUAUAUGUCAAAUGCGUGUAUGAGUUACAAGAUAUAGGGGGAGAUCUCCAUGAUUCAACUCUUCAAGUGUGCAUUGCUUCAAAAGCAAAUUCCUCACUAUGCACAUCUUCAGGGGGAGUUCUUCUAUAUCUUGCAAUCAAAUUCCUCAACAUCAGUAUUACACUUCAUAUGUUUAUCCCCGUUGAAAACUUAACCUAUAUUGUCAUCAAUCACCAAAAGGGGGGAGAUUGUAAGUGCAUCUAGUGCCCCUUAGUGAUUUUGGUGUAUUGAAGACUUAUAGGUUAAGGGACUAAUGUGUUUAUGAGUGUACACAGGUCUAUAAGUCUAUGAGGAGUCUGAUAUUUAUAGAGAAAGUCGAGCCCUAAAAAUGAAGUUCUUCAUCUGAAGACUUUGAUAUUCUGAAGACUUUCUGAAGACUUUGAAAGUGAAGAAAUUGGUGUGACCUUGAAGACUUGGUAUUCAUUCGAGGAACAUGAAGCGUGAAGACUUUUGUUUUCGUAGUUUCAUUUUCUUUUUCUUGAGUCAUAGGAAACACCGUACUGUUAAAGGGGGUCGAGGAAAUACUAAGGAAAAAUUUCCAUGUGAUGCUCAACUCAAAAUCCUACACCUACCAAUCCCUUCGAGUGAAGCCAUUGGAAAUCUCAUACAGUUUAGUCAAUUUCUUCAAUGACAGAGACGAAGUUCUUCUGGUCUCUGAGGAAUUUGUUCCGACUAAGGAGUUAGGAAUUCGCCAGUGCAGAUUACCUACAUAGUGAGGAACAUGAUACCCCUGAGGAUUUUGCUACUCAAAAUUCCGACCGUUGCUGUGCUAUGCGCCAGCUGUCCUAAAAUAUCUAUCCACAUAAUGGUCAUAUCAUUGAAGGGCAUUUAUGUCUUAUUGAUACAUCUCCAUAGUAUCUACUUUUCCAAACACUUUUGCCCUUGUUUUGGACUCUAACUUGUAUGAUUUGAAUGGAACUAACCCGGACUGACGCUGUUUUCAGCAGAAUUGCCAUGGUGUUGUUUUAUGUGCAGAAAACAAAUAUUCUCGGAAUGACCUGAAACUCCACGGAACAUCUUAGAAAAAAUAAUAAAAAUUCCUCGCCAAAGAUGAAGACCAGGGGGCCCACACCCUUCUCACGAGGGUGAGGGCGCGCCCCCUACCUCGUGGGCCCCCUGGAUGCCCUCCGAUGCCAACUCCAACUCUAUAUAUUUGCUUUCGGAGAGAGAAAAUUAGAGAGAAGAAAUCAUCAUGUUUUACGAUACGGAGCUGCUUCCAAGCCCUAAAACCUCUCGGGAGGGCUGAUCUGGAGUCCGUUCGGGGCUCCGGAGAGGGGGAUUCAUCGCCGUCGUCAUCAUCAACCAUCCUCCAUCACCAAUUUCAUGAUGCUCACCGCCAUGCGUGAGUAAUUCCAUCGUAGGCUUGCUGGACGGUGAUGGGUUGGAUGAUAUUUAUCAUGUAAUUGAGUUAGUUUUGUUAGGGUUUGAUCCCUAGUAUCCACUAUGUUCUGAGAUUGAUAUUGCUAUGACUUUGCUAUGCUUAAUGCUUGUCACUAUGGCCCGAGUGCCAUGAUUUCAGAUUUGAACCUAUUAUGUUUUCAUGAAUAUAUGUGAGUUCUUGAUCCUAUCUUGCAAGUAUAUAGUCACCUACUAUGUGUUAUGAUCCGACAACCCCGAAGUGACAAUAAUCGGGACCACUCCCGGUGAUGACCAUAGUUUGAGGAGUUCAUGUAUUCACUAUGUGCUAAUGCUUUGUUCCGGUUCUCUAUUAAAAGGAGGCCUUAAUAUCCCUUAGUUUCCAAUAGGACCCUGCUACCACGGGAGGGUAGGACAAAGAUGUCAUGCAAGUUCUUUUCCAUAAGCACGUAUGACUAUAUACAGAAUACAUGCCUACAUUACAUUGAUGAAUUGGAGCUAGUUCUGUGUCACCCUAUGUUAUGACUGUUGCAUGAUGAACCGCAUCUGGCAUAAUUAUCCAUCAUUGAUCCGGUGCCUAUGAGUUUUCCAUAUACUGGUUCUCGCUUAUUUACUUUCCCGCUGCUACUGUUACAAUCACUACAAAAUACCAAAAACAUUACUUUUGUUGUCUUUACUUUUGUUGCUGCUACCACCACUAUCAUAUUACUCUGCUACUAAACACUUUGCUGCAGAUACUAAGUUUCUAGGUGUGGUUGAAUUGACAACAUAGCUGCUAAUACUUGAGAAUAUUCUUUGGCUCCCCUUGUGUUGAAUCAAUAAGUUUGGGUUGAAUACUCUACCCUCGAAAGCUGUUGCGAUCCCCUAUACUUGUGGGUUAUCAAGACCAAUUUCUGGCGCCGUUGCCGGGGAGCAUAGCUCUAUUCUUUGAGUCACUUGGGGUUUAUAUCUGCUGGAAACUAUGAAGAACUUGACAGAUCCAAAAACCAAGAUCUAUCCCUCAACUACGAGGGGAGGUAAGGAAUUGCCAUCUAGCUAUGCACUUGAUUCACCUUAUGUUAUGAGUAAGUUUGUGACACCUACACCUGCUUCUGCUAUUCGUUCUGAUAUGUCGCAUAUUAUUGAUGAUGCCACUUCUGCUAUGCAUGAUACUUAUGAUGAAACUGCUUCUAUGCCUGAUACUACUGUGCCCCUUGGUGAAUUUCUUAAUGAACAAAUUGCUAGGGCUAGAGAAAAAGAAAUUAUUGAAUCUGAAUACGAUGAUGAUAGUGAUGAUGAAAAUAUGCCUGUUAUCCCUGAGGGCUAUCUUUUUGAUAUGGAAUCUUAUGCCGCUAUUUUAGCUUGCAAAGAUAGAUAUGAGCUCAAGAGGUUAUUAGUUAAAUGGAACAAAGAAUCACUUAGAGAUAAAAUGAAAACCGACCCUGCUUUUGCUACUUCACCUAUUUGUGUUCCUGAUAAGGAUUAUGAAUUCUCUGUUGAUCCUGAUAUAAUUACUUUGGUGGAAUCUGAUCCGUUUUAUGGCUAUGAAUCUAAAACUGUUGUGGCACAUCUUACUAAGUUAAAUGAUAUAGGUACCCUGUUCACCAAUGAUGAGAGAUCGCGUUACUUCUAUAUACUCAAAAUAUUUCCGUUCUCAUUAAAGGGUGAUGCUAAGAUAUGGUUUAAUUCUCUUGAUCCUGGUUGUGUGCGUAGUCCCCAGGAUAUGAUUUAUUACUUCUCUGCUAAAUAUUUCCCUGCUCAGAAGAAACAAGCUGCUUUGAGGGAAAUAUACAACUUCGUGCAAAUUAAAGAAGAGAGUCUCCCACAAGCUUGGGGGAGGCUUCUCAAGUUACUUAAUGCUUUGCGUGAUCAUCCUCUUAAGAAACCUGAGAUACUUGAUAUCUUUUAUAAUGGACUAACCGAUGCUUCCAGAGAUUACCUGGAUAGUUGUGCUAGUUCUCUUUUCAGGGAAAUAACACCGGAUGAAGCUGAAAUUCUAUUGAAUAAUAUGUUGACAAAUGAAAAUAAUUGGGCACCUCCUGAGCCAACUCCUUCUCCAAUUACUGAGCCUAUUCCUAAACCAACUCCGAAGAAGAGAGGUGUUCUAUUUCUCAGUCCCGAAGAUAUGCAAGAGGCAAAGAAAUCUAUGAAAGAGAAAGGUAAUAAAACUGAAGACGUUAAGAAUUUACCUCCUAUUGAAGAAAUACAUGGUCUUAAUAUACCGCCUACUGAAGAAACAUAUGAUCUAAAUUCUUUAUUUACUGAAGAACCUCCUGAUCCCGAUAUCCCGACACAGGUAGUAAAGGUAAAUUCUCUCUAUAGAUAUGAUAAAGCUGAAGUCCCUCCUACUAAAAUUGCUAGUCAGUGCUUGGAUGAGUUUGAUAACUUUAUGUUUAAGCAAGACGACUUCAAUGCUUAUUUUGGUAGACAAUUAAAAGAAAAUGCUUAUAUGAUUAAAUACUUGGGUGAUUAUAUGGCUAAUAUUAGAGGUGAACUUAAACUUGUUAGCAAACAUGCUUCUAUGGUUACCACUCAAGUAGAACAAGUACUUAAAGCUCAAAAGGACUUGCUCAAUGAGAUGAAUAGUAAGAAAAAUGAUUAUGCUGUUAAAGUGGCUACUAGAACUGGUAGAAUGACUCAGGAACCUUUGUAUCCUGAAGGCCACCCUAAGAGAAUUGAGCAAGAUUCUCAGAGAAAUAAAAUUGAUGCGCCUAGUUCUUCUAAAAGGAAGAAAAAUAAAAAUGAUAGAACUGUGCAAUGCUAAACCACCUGAUAAUCCAAAUGAUAUCUCUAUGUCUGAUGCUGAAACACAAUCUGGUAGUGAACAUGAACCUAAUGAAAAUAUUAAUGAUGAUAUUCAUGAUGAUACUCAACCUAGUAAUGAUAAUGAUAUAGAAAUUGAACUUGUUGUUGAUCUUGAUAACCCACAAUCAAAGAAUCAAUGUUAUGAUAAAAGAGACUUUGUUGCUAGGAAACAUGGUAAAGAAAGGGAACCUUGGGUUCAGAAACCAUGCCUUUUCCUCCAAAACCAUCCAAGAAAAAGGAUGAUGAGGAUUUUGAGCGCUUUCCUGAAAUGAUUAGGCCUAUCUUUUUGCGUAUGCGAUUAACUGAUGUGCUCAAAACAAAUCCUUAUGCUAAAUAUAUGAAGGAUAUCAUUACUAAUAAAAGAAAGAUACCAGAAGCUGAAAUUUCCACCUUGCUUGCUAAUUAUACUUUUAAGGGUGGAAUACCAAACAAACUUGGAGACCCCGGAGUACCUACUAUACCUUGCUCCAUUAAAAGAAAUUAUAUUAAAACUGCUUUAUGUGAUCUUGGAGCCGGUGUUAGUGUUAUGCCUCUCUCUUUAUAUCGUAGACUUGACUUGAAUAAGUUGACACCUACUGAAAUAUCUUUGCAAAUGGCUGAUAAAUCAACUGCUAUACCUGUCGGUAUCUGUGAGGAUGUGCCUGUUGUGGUUGCAAACGUUAUUAUUUGAAUGGACUUUGUUAUUCUUGAUAUUCCUGAGGAUGAUAGUAUAUCUAUUAUUCUUGGAAGACCUUUUCUUAAUACCGCAGGGGCUGUUAUUGAUUGCAACAAAGGCAAUGUCACUUUUCAUGUUAAUGGUAAUGAGCAUACGGUACACUUUCCGAGGAAACAACCUCAAGUUUAUAGUAUCAACUCCAUUGGAAAAAUUCCAUCGAUUAUAAUUGGAGGUUUUGAAUUUCCUCUUCCUACUGUCAAGAAGAAAUAUGAUAUACUUAUUAUUGGGGAUGUGCAUAUCCCCGUUGAGGUAACUUAGUGUUAUUCGAAAUUUCUCUGGUUUCAUGAUUAUCGGAAUGAGUUUGUUAACAAGACUUGAUCAACCUUGUUAGUGGAUUCUUUUUGGUGAGCAUGAGAUGGAUGAAACUAGAAGCACCACCUUCUGUACCUUCUCUUUAUUUUCUGUCAAUUAGUAGAAAUAAAGUAAAAAUAGUUUUUUCUGUCUAUUUCCUGACUUAUCCGUGCAAUAUAAAAAUAUCCCGAAAAUAAAAGUCCUCAGAAUGACAUGCCAAUUUAAUAUGAUUUUUCGGGAAUAUUUAAGAAUUUACUGUGCAAAAAUUACCGUGGGAGGAGCUGCCACCUGGCCACGAGGGUGGUGGGCGCGCCCCCUGCCUCGUGGGCCCACGGUGGCCCUCCUCCACCUAUCCCAGCAUCCAUCUUCCUCUGUCUCACGCAAACCCAAAAAACCAACUCAAGCACGAGUUCCAGCCACUUUUGUUGUGAUUUUCGAUCUCCUUGCUCAAAGCACCUCUCGCAAAACUGCUUGGGAGAUUGUUCCUUGGUAUGUGACUCCUCCAUUGGUCCAAUUAGUUUUUGUUCUAGUGAUUUAUUCUUUGCAAAUUUGUGCUGCAUAGGUGACCAUGUUCUUGAGCUUGCAUGUCAAAUUUAUAUGGUUCUAAGUAGUUCUAAUGCUUGAUAUAGGCUCUAGGCACUUGUAGGAGUAGUUGCUAUCAAUAUUAUUGAGUUUGGUUCACUUUUGUUUGAAGUUACUAAAAUUUCAUAUUAUUUUAGAAAAAUAAUGAGGAGAUUUUUGAGGGGCUCAUCGAGCCAAAGCUCAAAGGAAAAGGCACCGAAGCCUAAGUAUAAUUUGUCGCGCACCACGGAGAUUCGGGCGUGUGAAUGGCCUUCCGAUGAUUUCUUGAGAGCAGCCGGUAUCUAUGAAGAUUUUCAUGAAUUGGCUCAUAAUGCAGGCCUCACCGCUUUCCUCCACGACCAAUGCGAUUAGUAUCUCUUACUCACAAAUACUUUUGUACAAAACUUUCAUUUUCAUUCUAGGAACUCACCACCUACGGUGGAGUUUCAUUUAUAUGAUGAGCAUAAGGAGAUGUCACUUUAUGAUUUCUGUCGGAUUUGUUUAGUCCCUUUUGAGGGCAAGACAGAAGAACCACAUCAUGAUGAUGUGGCUGGGUUUAUUGAUACUAUCACUAUAGGAGAAACUAGGAAGGUUUUCGAUGCACGAAUCACUAGCAUACAUUUUCAUGUUUUACGUUACUUUGCAUUAUUUGUUAGUCGUUGUUUAAUUGGACGCAGAAACUGUGGAAACCUUAGUAUCUGAAAGUGCUAGUGAUCGACUAGACGGGGUGAAUAGGCGAUUUUUAUGGAAGUCUUCAAAACAUGGAAGUUUCGAAGACAAAUGAUAGAAAUAAACCUAUUACCAUGCAGCGGAAGGUAGACUACACUAGGCAAACCAUAGUCAAGUAUUCAAUGGAGUGAAAGCACAAUGACUAAUAGCAGCUAGGCAGUAAAGAUCAGGUAGGAAGAUAUUGUGAAGCCAAUCAGAACAAGCAGUCACUCAGUGAAGAAAAAGAUAAAGCAAUCAUACAAUGGCUUCACAAGGACCAACGGUAAGUAAAGGGAAGGGAAGGAUGAAACCAGUGACUCGUUGAAGACAAUGAUUUGUUGGAUCAGUUCCAGUUGCUGUGACAACUGUACGUCUGGUUAGGGAGGCUGAGAUUCAACUCAGAAGACCUCGUCUUCACCUUAUUCCCCUUGAGCUAAGGACACCCAGUCCUCGCCCAAUCACUCUGGUAAGUCUUCAUAGUCCACAAUGACUCUUGGAUGCUCAGAACGCGACGCCUAACUGGCUGGAGGAUUCAUAGUCCUUAAGUGUAAUAAGUCUUCAGAUCACACAGACAGGAAGACUUAAGUGAUGCCUAACACUCUUUGGCUCUGGGUGUUUAGGGCUUUAUCCUCGCAAGGAAUUCUCUCUCAAAGGCUUCGAGGUGGGUUGCUCUCAAAUGACAAAAGUCGUGCACUAACUCUGAGCAGCCAACCGUUUAUGGUUGUAGGGGGUGGGCUAUUUAUAGCCACUAGGCAACCCGACCUGAUUUGUCUGAAAUGACCCUUGGUCACUAAGCAACUGACACGUGUUCCAACGGUCAGAUUUCAAACACACACGGCAACUUUACUUGGGCUACAAGCAAAGCUGACUUAUCCAACUCUGGACAAGAUUUGCUCUCAUAGUCUUCACUCAAAGACAUAGGAUUUUGGUUAAGCAUCACUUCAGUCAUUCUGACUGGUUCACUUGGACCCCACCUAACAGUACGGUGGUUCUUAUGACUCAACAAAGAAGAAAAAGAACGACGAAACAACCAAGUCUUCGCGCUCCAUAGUCUUCAUGCGAUGUCUUCUCUUGUCAUAGGCUUCAAUGUGAAUGUCUUCACGUACCACCUUUGACUUCAAUGUCUUCAUUCAUUUUUAGGGGUCAUCUCUGGUAGGAAAACCGAAUCAAUGAGGGACUUCUACAUGUGUUAUCCUGCAAUUCUCACAAACACAUUAGUCCCUCAACCAGGUUUGUCAUCAAUACUCCAAAACCAACUAGGGGUGGCACUAGAUGCACUUACAAUCUCCCCCUUUUUGGUGAUUGAUGACAAACUGGUUGAAGUUUUCAACGGGGAAUAAAAUAUGUGAAAUUGUAAAGGAUAGGGUAUUGUCUUCAUAAGUUGCAAGGGCUCCCCCUGAAGAUGUGCAUAUAAGUAAUUUGCUUUUGGAAUGCAAAUGCACAUGGCAGGUUGUACUUGUGGAGAUCCUCUUCAACCUAUGAUGACAAGUCAUUAUGCAAGAUAUGAUGUAACGAAGAUAAUGACAUGCAUAAUGAAAAAUGGACGUCUGCAAAAUGAUCUAAGUGCGGAAUUUAUCAUCGCACAUGCGGAAUUUAUCAUCGCAUCACAGAAUAGCAAAUAAGUAGCAGACGACCAUCAAGUUUAAGUGUUACAACUCAAAGAACCAAAUGUAUCAAAAACGAGAGUUGUAAGCACUUGGCAAAAGUAGUAAAAAGUAAAGCAACCACCCAUAUGGACCCGCUUGAAGACUAUCAACUCAUAUGCUUCUCCCCCUUUUGUUAAUGAUGACCAAAAAGGUUUGAAGACAUAGAGCGCCUACUCGUUCCCAUGAGGUGCAGGCGAGGCAGCAGGGUCGUCGUUGAGAUCCGGUGGUGCAGAGGAACUUGGUGCAGUGUCGACACGCGCUGAAGUUGGAGGAGGUGAAGUUGCAGCAUCUUGGUCAUCGAUGACUCUGGCAUUUACGGUCACAGCUGAGGACGAGUAUUCAGAGUCUUCAAGUGAGGGAGUCCGACGCAAGUGAGCAUUUCUGGGAGGAGUUGAGUCAAACUUGAAGCGUUCGGUGAAGCCAUCGUCAUGCAGAUCAGCUUCAGCACUCAGUAGGGUCAAACUCUUCCACGACCUCCGACAGGUUUCAUGAGUGACAAAGGCAUUCUUGGUGGCAAGAUUGUGAAUGCGGUUGACAUCCACCAAGAGGCUUUGCAUCUGACGCUUAAGUCAGUCAUGAUGUUUGUCCUGUUUCUGAUGCAGCGCGACUAGAAGCUCUCGGUCAUUUAGGACACGAGAUCGUCGUCGAGGCCUUUGUGCAAUGGUGCUACCAGUGGCAUCAGUUUGAGCACGAGGGGCACGUGUGUUUCCAGCAAGGGGAUAAACACGAGAAACUGCUGGAAUUCCUUCAAUGGGCUGGGUGAAGCUUUGGUGAUCAGCAUUGUGAAGAUAAAUGGGAUCCUUAGCAGGCUCUGGGUAAAUGGCUUCAACUGACAGAUCAACCUCGGGCAAGAAUAUAAGAUGAUUGCGCGCAGACGGCUGAUAGUUGAAGGCUGAGUGACGCUUGAUCAGACGCAUGACCCAUGGAGCAUAGAAUUUCAACCCAAAGAUGUCGGAGCCAGACGCAGCCAACUGCCUGAUGAAGAAGUCUUGAGCAUUGAAGCUGAUGCCAUUGAAGAUAUAGAAAACCAAAGUCUUCAUUGCUCCUUCAAGCUUCGCUGCAAGUGAGUGUCCUUUGACAGGCCAUAGAGUCUUCCUGAUGAUGUGGUAAAUGGUGCGAGGCAGGUACUCUAGGUCUUCAACAAAGAACUCAGAUGGGUAUUCAGCGUCGUGAGGCAGAGGCUUCAUCAUGCUCAGCAUUUGACUCAUGUUGGGUUCUGGCUUCUGAAAGAUGCUUUCCAAGGUAUUUUGAUGUUGUUGACAACCUGGUUCAUAGUAUUCACCAGGAGUGUGCAGGCAUGUGAGCUCAAUGAUAUCAAGAGCUUUAGCUUCAUGAUGGACAUUGCCUAUCAUCCACUCAAGGACCCAAGUCUUCGGAUCCCUGUUGUAGCCUCGAAUAUGAAGAGUGGCAUAGAAUUGAAGCAGCAAUUCUUUGUUCCAGUGCUCCUUGUCAGUGAUGAACUACAACAGACUAGCAUCUCUGAAACAAUCCAAUGCUUCUUCAAGGCAGGGCAGUCCAGCUAUAGCUUCAAAGUCGAGGCGCAUAUGUGGAAAUAUGCGCCCUUGAUUGUAUAGGACACAGGAAUAGUAGCUGCGCUGCUGAUAGCUCCAGAACUGAUCUGAGGAAAUGCACAGUCUGGUAUAAGGGUUCUUGGAGCUGUUGAAGAAGGUAUUAUGUGCCACGAAGCCAUUUGCAUUAAAGACCCCAGGUGAAGUGGCAGUGCCUGGGAAUCAUGGAAGUCUUGGCUUGGGCUUUUGGACUUGAGGCCUGUGCUCAACGUGGUACUCAAAUUGUGGACCAGCAGCAGGUGGAGGAGUCAGAAUGGGAAUCGAACCAUAACUGGCUGACCACGAUCAAAUGCCAGCUCCAUUGUGUGAGGUCUUGGAGGGGAACAGGGGCAUUUGCAUUGUCUUCAUGGGCUUUAGGGGCCACAUGUGCUUCAGGUACUUGGACCUCAGGUACUGCAGCAUUGACUUCAGGUGUUGCAGCAUUGACUUCUGGUGCCUUAUUGGCUUCUGGCGCCUCGUUGGCUUCCGGCGCCGUAUUGGCGUUAACCAUGACAACGUCAUUGGCAUCAGCAGUGAUGUUGGUGGCUACUUCAGGGUUGUUAACCUCCACUUAAGAAGCUGGAGGGUCAGUCACGUUCUCCUCGAGAACAACAUCUUGGUGAGACGGGGGUGUAGCAACUCUUGAAACUCUUGGGGCUUCUUCUUCAUCGGCUGAUGCAGCCGAAACAUCUUCAGCCAUUUUGGCUUCAGAUUCAGACACAUGCAUUGUGGGAGUGACUUGGGGCCUUGGUCCUUUGUGAAGCAUGCGUAAUGCGGGCGACACUUGUGGGGAUGGAGUGUGCUGGGCCACAAAGUCAUCAUCAUCUUGCACCAUUGGGGUAGCUUGCGGUUGGGGAGAGCUUGGAGUGUCUUGUCUCUGUGGGUGAUCAGCCCACGAUGCAUCUUGAGCAGUUGGCGUCAGAGGACGACCAAUGCUGAUGAGUUUGAUGUGUGUGAGCACAGGCGAUGAUACCAAUUGGUGCUCGAUCUGAGGAAGGACUUCAUCAUCUUCAACAUUGUCAUGAUGACCAAUGUCUUCAGCAGCGGUGGGGUCAACUGCUAGAAUGUCUUCAGCUUUAGGAGCCUCUGUGGAAGCAGGCUCAUGAAUUACCAUCCGUCGUUCUUGAUGCGAAGAGGCAGGACGAGCAACCGAGAUGGGCUCAACAAUAAGGGGCUCUGUGGCAGCAGUCUAAUCUUUCUUGGUUUUGCGCUUCUUCUUGGAGGGAGCGACAUCAGAAGCUUCAGGAUGUUUCCUCUUUCUGGCUUCAGCCUCGGCAGCCCUUGUCUUCUUUAACUCUGAGCCACUAUGGGGACAUUAGGCUUUGAGCCUGUCAUACUGGCUAGGAAGACAAUGGGAUAUGCUUCCUGCCUUGUUGCUUCGGGUUCGGCCAUAGUUGGCUUCUUCUUCUUCUUUCCAGCCAUCUUGGGAUCGAUGCCAGGACGCCCAAGAGCCUUGUUCAUUGUAGGCUUGCAUGCACUUGUCAGCCAGACUCUUCAUGCGCUCACGAGAACCUUUAGCUUCUUCGCGUUUCUUGAGAAAGGCUUCCUUGAGCUCGUGCAGCAUAGUCUUGAAGUUCUUGACAUCUUGCACGCUGAGCUUUGCCAUGUGCUGCUUGAACUAAGCUUUCUCAUAGUCGAUCUUUUGCUUCAGUUCAACGAUGCGCUGAGCUAGAGCUAGCUCAGAAGCAAUGGCGCCAGUGAAAGCAACACUGAGGCCAAUUAGAAGUUGCAGAUCAUCAAAGCUGAGAUUGGGGGUUUCAAACCACUCAUCAAUGAAUUUGUGAAGGAUUGCUACGUCAAAGAGAGGCAAAUCAUUAAAGAUUUCUGCUUCUUCUUUGCUCUUGAUCAGUUGCUCAAGAGCGUCAUCUGCAAGAUCUUCAUCGCUGGACAGAUCAAUGAUGUCAUUGCGCAGAAUAGCAGCAACAGUCAGUUCUUGGCUGGUGGGUUGCAAGGGCAUCUUCACUCUCGAGGGCUUGGAGAUGCGUGACAAAUCUUUAGACUGCACACUGUGUUCGGGAGGUGCAGUGGCCAGAGGCUUCUCCUGUGAGACCUUUGGUGUAGGAGCAGGCUUUGAAGCUUUAGGCUUCUUCAGUUUCUUUGGCUUCGGCGGUGCAGGCGCUUCAUCAGAUUCAGCGUCGUCUGCAGGCUCAUCCACGGUUGUCCCUUGAACCAUGAUAUGAGUGAUGAGACCUUCCAGGUUGUAGAAGGGCCCAACAAGAUUGGGUUCAGCUUCGCGUGUGCCAUCAGCACGAGGAGCAGAGGGGCCUGGAUUGAAUUCUAAGCCUCAUGACUUCUUGUUCUCUUUGGCCGAGUUCCUGGCAAACUGAAGGUUGCGCUUGAACAGAUUAUCAUCGCGGCACCACAGUAAUGAAGAUGGGUCUGCAUCUGCAGGCUGCGGUCCACGGACCAUGCAAGGAUAGAAGCCUUGUUCAAUGGCUUCAGCUCUGGACUUGGGUUGAAGAUUUCUGUAUAGAAUGUCUCCCCAUGGUCGUUUGAUAGAAUUCUUCUCAGCAUACUCCUGGGUCACGAACUUGUACUUGAACCACUGUUCUGCCCAAUAUCUUCGAAUCCAUUGGAUUCGAGUUUUUCGUUGAUUGUAGUCCUCCUCUGGGUCUGUCUUGUACAGCUCAUAGAGGUCAGGAGGCAAAUCUCUUGAGGUGUUGCCACGAUGCUGUGUGCCACCCUUUCUUGUAGGUUUCUCUGGUGCCAUGAAGCUUAAACUGAAGGGCUUCAAUACGUUUAAAGGCUUCAAAGGCUUCCGCUUUCUGGUCAAACAGGAACUGGCUUCGGGAGAGUUAAUGUGAUGCUGUAAGAAUUCUGCAAACAAAUGCAAACUAUGAGAACCAAGGGAUUCUCCCACGGACAUGUACCUAUGACAGCAUUAAGGUGCGAGGGAAGGGGAAGAGGUCAUAUGCAUUCUCAGAAGAUUUUGAAGAUAAAUCAGUUUAGAAGACAUUGACCUCAUAGUGCGAAGACAUUCACUCUUAGAUAGAGAGUUGGUUCCAGAUUUGUAUGAAUCCACGAAUAAGUACAAGUGAGGAAUCUAACUACUUUGUGAAGCAUAAGUGAACAUACUAGGCAUAUUAUGAGAUGCAGUAUGAAAAAGAUCCAACUUGUGUGAACAGAAACUGCUUGUGGUAGAAAGUGAUGAAUCUAUAGGAUCAAUGGGGCCGUAAAAAGGAAGUUUUAUUUACCACACGAAGAACUGCUAGACGGAGUGGGAGAGGAGGCCGAGCAGUUCGAUCGUCCGUGCCCUAACUUGGCGACGGAGGACACCUAUGGCGACGGCGGAGAAGACGAUGUCCGCGGCCGGCAUGAAGACGGCAUCGGUGAGGUUGCGGCAGCUAAGCGCUUCGUUGUUGGCAUCGUCGAGGGCUAGCGGUGGCGCUAGGGUUUGUGCGAGAGUGGAAGAAGGGAUAAUGACUGUGGUGAGGCAUGUAUUUAUAGGGAUAGGGAUGGCACAGUGUUAUUACACAGGUGCCCCUGGCGAUUCACAUCUGAAGGACACGUGGCUAUCAUGCAACGUAUCGGAGGUUGUUCCACAUUCCCAUGCACGCCUAGAUUGUCGGGUGGUCGUUCCCACUUCUCCGGGUUUCAGGUGAAGGAAUUAGCAUUGAAAACGGACUUAAUGUUUGUCUCUGUAUCUUCUGCUGACAAGGACGCGGAGAAGACAGUCGAUAGUUUCAAUAGAAUGCAUAUGAUUUGGACAGAUAGAGUUUGAGAUAAGAAAGCAUAGAGAGAUUAGGGUCCGAUCACAUUCACUUAGUUCAAAAGAUUCAACAAGGAAGAUGUAGCUAUAAGUGAAUGUUGUAGAGGACAGAACACUAGUAUGUAUAUAUCAAAAGACAAUCAAGUCAACAUAGUGAAGAUAAUCAUGAAGACAAGUUGAAAUUGAAGACAAACCAAAUGUGAAGACAUAGCAAAUGUAACGCCAUGGGUAAAACACUUCAACACAGAAGAAUUUGGUGGUGGUGUUACCCACCGUAUAGGAAGUAUUAGACCCAGACACGGCGCACAAUUAUCGUGGCGCUCCGAAGUCAAAUUUCACGUUAAUGUAUUCACACUCAGAAUGUAAGUCUUCAUUGAUUGAAGAUAUACUUUACUUCGUGUGUUGCACAUCUAAGUCAUCAACAUGCACAAGUGUUAGGAUGUGUGCCUGAUCACUGGACAUUUGAGGAUUCCAAGAUAUUUAGCUCACACCGUAACUUGCAAAACCUCUUCUCAUCCAAGGGCUUGGUGAAGAUAUCUGCCAAUUGCUCUUCAGUGUUGACGUGUAUGAUAUCAAUAUCUUCCUUCAUAACAUGAUCUCUGAGAAAGUGAUGACGAAUUUCAAUGUGCUUUGUCUUUGAGUGCUGAACUGGGUUGUUGGCAAUCUUGAUGGCGCUUUCAUUGUCGCAGUAGAGUGGCACUUGCUUCAGAUGAAUGCCAUAGUCUUUGAGUGUUUGCUUCAUCUAGAGAAGCUGAGCGCAGCAAGAUCCAGCAGCAAUGUAUUCAGAUUCAGCAGUGCAGAGAGAUACACUGUUCUUCUUCUUUGAAGACCAACAUACAAGUGAUCGUCCCAGAAAAUGACAUGUGCCUGAUGUAGACUUGCGAUCCACCUUGUCACCAGCAUAAUCAGCAUCUGAGAAUCCAACUAGAUCAAACUCUGAGCCCUUUGGAUACCAUAAUCCUAGUGUUGGGGUGUGAGCCAAAUAUCUGAGAAUUCGCUUCACUGCUAAGUGAUGCGAUUCCUUUGGUGCCGCUUGGAACCGGGCACACAUGCAAACACUAAGCAUGAUAUCUAGCCUAGAUGCACAUAAAUAAAGUAAGGAACCAAUCAUGGAGCGGUAUACCUUUUGAUCGAACUCUUUACCAUUGUCGUCGUGUAGCCUUUGCAAUCUUGCAUUCCAAAUUUCUUCAGGCAAUCUUUGAGGUAUUUCUCUUGAGAUAUAAAGAUGUUGUUGCGUUGCUGACGUAUUUGAAGACCAAGGAAGAACUUCAGCUCACCCAUCAUGGACAUCUGAUAUUGCUCUUGCAUUAUAUAUCCAAACUCGUCAGUGUAUUUCUGAUUGGUGUAGCCGAACAUAAUGUCAUCCACAUAUAUUUGGCACACAAACAGUUCACCAUCAUACGUCUUCAUGAAGAGAGUGGGGUCGAGGGAACCAGGUUUGAAGCCUUUGCUCUUCAGGAAGUCUUUGAGUGUGUCAUACCAAGCCCGAGGGGCUUGUUUGAGGCCAUAUAGUGCCUUGUUGAGCGUGUACACCAUGUCAGGAUGUUUUGGAUCUUCAAAGCCAGGCGGUUGUGCAACAUACACUUCUUCUUCAAUCUUGCCAUUGAGAAAAGCGCUCUUCACAUCCAUUUGAUACGGAAGAAUGUUAUGAUGAUUUGCAUAGGCCAGCAGUAUGUGUAUGGCUUCAAGUCUAGCCACAGGAGCAAAUGUUUCAUCGAAGUCAAUCCCUUCAACUUGAGUGUAUCCUUGAGCAAUGAGACGAGCUUUGUUUCUGACAACUUGACGAUGCUCAUCUUGCUUGUUGCGAUAUAUCCAUUUGGUGCCUAUUAUAUUGUGCUUGCGAGGAUCGGGAUGCUUAACCAGUUCCCAUACAUUAUUCAGUUCAAACUGCUGAAGCUCUUCUUGCAUAGCUUGAAUCCAUUCAGGUUCCAUGAAGGCUUCAUCAACUUUCUUGGGUUCAGAUAUUGAGACAAAUGCGAAGUGCCCACAGAAAUUUGCUAGCUGUGUUGCCCUUGAACGAGUGAGUGGACCUGGUGCAUUGAUGCUAUCAAUUAUUCUCUCAAUCUGUACUUCAUUUGCAACACGAGGAUGUACAGGCGAAGAUUUUGCUCUUGCUGAUCAUUUUCAUCGUUAGAAGAGUUGUCUUCAGGCUGAGUAUUGUCUUCAGGUUGAUCAGGUGCGGAGAUGAUAAGUUCCUCUUCAGGCUGAGCUUCAGAUGGUAUGAUUUCUCUAGUUCCCAUAAGUUUGAUUGAUUCAGUGGAUGGAACUUCAUCUAGCACAUUUGGCAGGUGCUCUCUUUGCGAGCCGUUAGUCUCAUCGAACCGCACAUCCAUAGUUUCAACCACUUUAUAGUGAAAGAGGUUGAAGACUCUGUAGGAGUGCGAAUCCUUUCCAUAUCCAAGCAUAAAACCUUCAUGUGCUUUUGGUGCAAAUUUUGAAGUGUGAUGUGGAUCCUUGAUCCAGCACCUGGCACCAAAUACUCUGAAGUAACUAACAUUUGGCUUCUUGCUAGUAAGGAUCUCAUAGCAUGUCUUGUUCAGAAGCUUGUGAAGAUAAACACGGUUGAUGAUAUGGCAUGCAGUAUAAAUGGCUUCAAGCCAGAAUUUUCUUGGAGUCUUGUAUUCAUCAAGCAUCGUCCGGGCCAUCUCAAUAAGUGUUCUAUUCUUGCGUUCGACGACGCCAUUCUGCUGUGGCGUGUACGGAGCUGAGAAUUCAUGUGUGAUGCCCAAAGUAUCAAGAUACGUAUCUAGGCCAGUGUUCUUGAAUUCAGUGCCAUUAUCACUUCUGAUGUGCUUUAUCUUGACGCCAUAGUUGUUCAUUGCUCGAUUGGCGAAGCGUCUGAAGACAUCCUGCACUUCAGUCUUGUAUAGGAUUAUAUGCACCCAAGUAUAUCUUGAAUAAUCAUCAACAAUGACAAAGCCAUAGAGACAAGCAGUAGUAGUAAGAGUUGAGUAAUGAGUGGGACCGAAAAGAUCCAUGUGUAGCAGUUCGAAGGGUUCAGUCGUUGUCAUGAUUGUCUUCGAGGGAUGCUUGGCCCUCAUCAUCUUUCCUGCUUCACAGGCACCGCAUAAGUGAUCCUUCUUGAACUUGACGCCCUCGAUGCCUAUGACAUGCUUCUUUCUUGCAAGAGUGUGCAAGUUCCUCAUGCCAUCAUGCCCUAGCCUCCCAUGCCAGAGCCAGCAUUCUGAAGCUUUUGCUAGAAGAUAUACGGCAAGCUGUGGCCCUGCUGAGAAAUCUACCACAUACAAAUCAUCUUUUUGAUACCCUUCAAACACUAGAGACUUGUCAGAUUCCAUUAGAACAAGGCAACGAUAUUUUCCAAACAUCACAAUCAUGUUUAAAUCGCAAAGCAUUGAGACAGACAUUAAGUUGAAACCAAGGGAUUCAACAAGCAUGACUUUAUCCAUGUGUUGAUCCUUUGACAUUGCAACUCUACCUAGACCCAAUACCUUACUUUUACCAGUGUCAGCAAAUGUGAUGUGACUUUUGUCAGAUGGACGUAAGGUUGAGUCCAUAAGAAUGCUUCGCUUGCCAGUCAUGUGAUUAGUACACCCACUAUCAAUAAUCCAUUCUGAAGCAGCUGGCGUCGUACCCUACAGUGCAGUUAGGGGGAUAGGCUUCACGAAGAGAAUUGUGAAGCAAAAACAUUUGACGGGCAAGUGGAUUAUGAAAGCUUAGAUCGAGGUUAGGACUGAUAGGGCAAGUAGCAAGCGACUCGGGAAGAAAAUACAUAAUAAGACCAUUUGGGCAUUUGAUCUUGCUCCCUACAAGAUGUUUAAGGUCCCCAGCAAUAGCUUCAGACGAUUUUGGUUUUCGGCUGGAGACCUUUCCCUGCAAAAGAGAGUUAAGCUUUCUUAGCCACCCACAUCUUCAAGGGUGGCUUCGAAGCAAUGAGUCUAAGUGCAGCAUCUGAGAACUUUGGCUUUGGAGCCCUAGCAAAAAGUCUGGCAGGUGAAUAAUAGUACUCAUAAGAAUAAGCAGAAUAGUUUUUGGUCUUAUGAACAUGGCGGUUUAAUGAAACGCACUCAUAUUCAUAGGCCUGAGUAAGGUUUCCCUGCAAUACAUUUGCGUUAGUGCGAAUCGGGUGAGUCCUCUGUCUGUAUGAAGCCUUUGGACCAUAUGAAUCCUGUGGUCUGGGGUUUGUCUUCUUCACUUGUGGUGUCAUGACGACAUUCACAGGAAGAUUCUCCAAAUACAUUUUCAGCACCCAGACCUUCUUCAUAGGCGGCCCAUUCCUGCAGUUAGUACCAAUAUACCUGGCAAACACUUCACCAUUCUGAUUCUUAAACAGUUUAUAGUUUGCAUCAAAGGAUUCAUCAAUAACAAUGGGAUUAGCACAAGUGAAGCCAGAUAGGGUGGAUGGAUCCACUGAAGGUCCCUUUGCAGCAACCCAUGUGGUUUUGGGGUACUACUCAGGUUUCCAGUAAGAGCCAUCAGCAUUGAUUUUCCUUUCGAACCCAACACCCUCUUUCCUAGGGUUUCGGUUCAGGAUCUGCCUUUUGAGGACAUCACAUAGUGUCUGAUGCCCUUUGAGACUUUUGAACAUCCCUGUUUCAAGCAAUGUCUUCAACCUAGCAUUCUCAUCAGCAAUAGCAGUGGCAUCCUCAGCAGAGGGGUUAGUUGGCACAUCAGCAGUUGAAGAUAUUGCAAUAGUAGCAGCAGUAGAACAACCAACAACAGAAGUAGCAUUGUCACGCUCAAUACAUUUAAGACAUGGUGGUUCAAAUCCUUCCUGAGCAGAACUGAUCUGUUUGGCGCGAAGUGACUCGUUUUCCUUUUGAAGAUCUUCAUGAGCCGCUCUCAAUUUGUCAAGAUCUUGUUUCCUUUGAAGAUAAUCAUAGGAAAGCUUUUCAUGAGUUGUUGAGAGCGUUUCAUGACGACUUUCAAGUUCCCCAUACUUAACGUGAAGAUUUUUUAUGUCUUCAACUAAGGACUGAGAUCAAGUCAUUUCAGCGUCUAACAGGUCAUCGCUUUUGUCUAACAGUUUUUGAAUAUGUUCCAUAGCUUUCUGUUGUUCAGUUGCAAUUUUAGCAAGUGUUUUGCAGCUGGGUUUGGAACCACAAUCAGAGUCAUCUUCACUGGAAGUUUGAUAGUGAGUAGUGCGUGUGUUUACCUUGGCACCGCGUGCCAUGAAGCAGUAGGUAGGAGCGGAGUAGUCCUUGUCAUUUGCAUCGGUGUCAGUGAUGGAGUAAUUGUCUUCAGUGUUGAAGAUGGACUUGGCAACGUAUGCCGUAGCCAGACUCGCAACGCCAGAAUCGGACUCCUCCUCAGACUCCACCUCCGCUUCCUGAGAGGCGGACUCCUCCUCUGAAUCCAUUUCCUUGCCAACAAACGCACGUGCCUUUCCAGAUGAGCUCUUCUUGUGUGAUGAAGACUUUGAGGAAGGCUUGGAAGAAGACUUUGAGUACUUCUUCUUCUUCUUGUCGUCAGAGUCGUACUCCUUGCUCUUCUUGUUGUUGUUGUUCUCAUUGUCCCACUGCGGACACUCAGAGAUGUAGUGGCCAGGUUUCUUGCACUUGUGGCAUGUUCUCUUCUUGUAGUCAUGAGUAGAAGCUUCAUCUUUCCUUGAGCUUGAUCGUGAAGACUUUCUGAAGCCUUUCUUCUUGGUGAAUUUUUGGAACUUCUUCACAAGCAUAGCAAGCUCCUUUCCAAUGUCUUCAAGAUCAUCGGAACUGCUAUCAGAUUCUUCUUCAGAUGAGGAGACAGAUUUUGCCUUCAAGGCACGAGUUCGCCCAUAGUUGGGACCGUAGAUGUAUCUUUUCUCAGAAAGCUGAAACUCGUGUGUGUUGAGCCUCUCAAGUAUGUCAGACGGAUCGAGUGUCUUGAAGUUAGGGCGUUCUUGAAUCAUCAGGGCUAGGGUGUUAAACAAGCUGUCAAGUGAUCUCAGGAGUGUCUUGACGACUUCAUGCUUGGUGAUCUCAGUGGCACCGAGGGCUUGAAGCUCAUUUGUGAUGUCAGUGAGUCGAUCAAACGUGAGCUGGACAUUCUCAUUGUCAUUUCUCUUGAAGCGGUUGAAGAGGUUGCGAAGGACACUGAUUCUCUGAUCUCUCUGGGUUGAGACGCCUUCGUUGACCUUGGAGAGCCAGUCCCAGACUAGCUUAGAAGUUUCCAAAGCACUCACACGGCCAUAUUGUCCUUUGGUCAGAUGACCACAGAUGAUGUUCUUGGCAGUGGAGUCCAGUUGAACAAACUUCUUGACAUCAGCAGUGGUGACACCUUCGCCAGCCUUGGGAACGCCAUUCUUGACGACAUACCAUAGGUCGACAUCAAUGGCUUCAAGAUGCAUGCGCAUCUUAUUCUUCCAGUAGGGAUAUUCAGUUCCAUCAAAGACGAGGCACGCAGCGGAGACUUUGAUUAUCCCUGCAGUCGACAUAGCUAAAACUCCAGGUGGUUAAACCGAAUCACACAGAACAAGGGAGUACCUUGCUCUGAUACCAAUUGAAAGUGCUAGUGAUCGACUAGAGGGGGGUGAAUAGGCGAUUUUUAUGAAAGUCUUCAAAACAUGGAAGUUUCGAAGACAAACGAUAGAAAUAAACCUAUUACCAUGUAGCGGAAGGUAGACUACACUAGGCAAACCAUAGUCAAGUAUUCAAUGGAGUGAAAGCAUAAUGACUAAUAGCAGCUAGGCAGUAAAGAUCAGGUAGGAAGAUAUUGUGAAGCCAAUCAGAACAUGCAGUCACUCAGUGAAGACAAAAGAUAAAGCAAUCAUACAAUGGCUUCACAAGGACCAACAGUAAGUAAAGGGAAGGGAAGGAUGAAACCAGUGACUCGUUGAAGACAAUGAUUUGUUGGACCAGUUCCAGUUGCUGUGACAACUGUACGUUUGGUUAGGAGGCUGAGAUUCAACUCAGAAGACCUUGUCUUCACCUUAUUCCCCUUGAGCUAAGGACACCCAGUCCUCGCCCAAUCACUCUGGUAAGUCUUCAAGGUAGAAUUCCAAACCUUCACAGACUUCGUUCACCGGCGAUCCACAAUGACUCUUGGAUGCUCAGAACGCGAUGCCUAACCAGCUGGAGGAUUCAUAGUCCUCAAGUGUAAUAAGUCUUCAGGUCACACAGACAGGAAGACGUAAGUGAUGCUAACACUCUUUGGCUCUGGGUGUUUAGGGCUUUAUCCUCGCAAGGAAUUCUCUCUCAAAGGCUUCGAGGUGGGUUGCUCUCAAACGACAAAAGCCGUGCACUAACUCUGAGCAGCCAACAGUUUAUGGUUGUAGGGGGUGGGCUAUUUAUAGCCACUAGGCAACCCGACCUGAUUUGUCCAAAAUGACCCUUGGUCACUAAGGAACUGACACGUGUUCCAAUGGUCAGAUUUCAAACACACACGACAAGUUUACUUGGGCUACAAGCAAAGCUGACUUAUUCAACUCUGGACAAGAUUUGCUCUCAUAGUCUUCACUCGAAGACAUAGGAUUUUGGUUAAGCAUCACUUCAGUCAUUCUGACUGGUUCACUUGGACCCCACUUAACAGUACGGUGGUUCCUAUGACUCAACAAAGAAGAAAAAGAACGACGAAACAACCAAGUCUUCGCGCUCCAUAGUCUUCAUGCGAUGUCUUCUUUUGUCAUAGUCUUCAAUGUGAAUGUCUUCACAUACCACCUUUGACUUCAAUGUCUUCAUUCAUUUUUAGGGGUCAUCUCUGGUAGGAAAACCGAAUCAAUGGGGGACUUCUACCUGUGUUAUCCUGCAAUUCUCACAAACACAUUAGUCCCUCAACCAGGUUUGUCGUUAAUACUCCAAAACUAACUAGGGGUGGCACUAGAUGCACUUACAGUAUCCCUGAUAUAAUUAUUCCGCUCCACAGUUUAUACAGUGAUAACACUUCUAGUAUGGGCGGUAUUAUUGCUAGACGGUUAAGUAUGAAUCGUACCAAAGGUCCCAUCUUUGGAGGCAUCUAUGCUACACGCCUAGCCGUACAUUUUAACAUACCUAUUAGGCAUGCUGAGAAGGAAGAAAAGGUGCUACCCCGUGUUUAUCUAGAUCAUAAAAGUAUGGUGGCACAUGAUUUUAUUGUUAAGAAUAGGGCAGGAGGGCUUAAAUAUCAAAUGUUCUUUAACAAACAUCACCCUGAGACUAUUAUCCUGCCUGCUCCUUCUUUGUUUGAUUUGACUGUAGGCACGUACCUUGUUCCAUUGACGGCUAUCCACGCCUACCGGAACACUGCACCAGCCGAGGAGCCAGAACCAGAACAACAAUUUGAUCCUUCACGGCAGUCUAACUAUCAGUGGGAUCCAGAGAUGAUUGCCAGCCAGUGGCAAUCGGAGCCUUCUUCUUCCUCAUCACGGUACGACCCCAACAACUAUUAUUAUGGAUAUCCACUAGGCCAGUCGUGGCCAUAGACCAACUUAGGCCAAAAGCCUAAGCUUGGGGGAGUACGUAUUUCUCACCGACAUUACAUUUAUGUUCACGCACACUCAUUACUAGAUGUCGGUGCUCAUACUUUUUCACUGUAAUAUCCAUGCUAGUUUAUUUUCCUUUUCCUGCUUUCUUCUUGUGUGUUUGUUAAGCCUUAAGAAAAACCAAAAAAAUUAGUAGUAGUUUAUUUUUCUGCUAUAGUAGUAAUAGCUAAAAAGAAAACCCAAAAAUAUUUCCCAGUCUUCUUUUUGCUUGUUGGGAGCUUUUCCGUGUAAAUAGUUUUAUUUCUUUUCUUUCUUUGGGGGUCAGUAGGAGAAGAUCAUAAUUAAAUUGUUGAAGUGGCUCUUAUAUGCAUUAUUGUUUAUCUGACAAAAGAGCCCAUAUUGCUUUGUCUUCUCCUGUUUAUUGAAUGCUCGCAGAUUCCAGCUUAGUCCAAUGCACAUACACUCUUAUUAUUAUUCACACCGUUCGGUCAUGCAAGUGAAAGGCAAUUAUGAUGAUAUGUGAUGGACUGACUGAGAUGAGAAAAGUUGGUAUGAACUCGACCUCUUUUGUUUUUGUAAAUAUGAUGAGUUCCUCGUUCUUGAUUCAGCUUAUUAUGAAUAAACAUGUUUGCAAUGACAAUUAGAGAUCAUAGUUGCUUGUGCCAUGCUUGAUUAGCUAUGAGUUAUAAUGAUUUACCUUGUGUGCCAACAUGCUAUUGAGAUGAUUAUGAUGUGGUAUGAUGGGGUGGUAUCCUCCUUUGAAUGAUUUAAGUGACUUGACUUGGCACAUGUUCACGCAUGUAGUUGAAACAAAAUCAACAUAGCCUUCACGAUAUUUAUGUUCAUGGUGGAUUAUAUUCUACUCAUGCUUGCAUCCAAUGUUUAUUAAUUUCAAUGCAUGUACAUGGCUGUUGUCGCUCUCUAGUUGGCCGCUUCCCAGUCUUUUGCUAGCCUUCACUUGUACUAAGCGGGAAUACUGCUUGUGCAUCCAAUCCCUUAAACCCCAAAGUUAUUCCAGAUGAGUCCACUAUACCUUCCUAUAUGCGGUAUCUACCUGCCGUUCCAAGUAAAUUUGUAUGUGUCAAACUCUAAACCUUCAAAUAAUCAUUCUGUUUUUAUGCUCGAAUAGCUCAUGUAUCAACCAAGGUUGUCCUUAUCUUCCGUGUUAGGCGGGUUAUUCUCAAGAGGAGUGGACUCUGCUCCUCACUCACGAAAAAAUGGCUGGUCACCGGGAUGCCCAUUCCCAUGCUUUAUGCAAACUAAAUAAAAAUUAAUUGCAAACAAAACUCCCCCUGGGACCUGAUGUAUGUUGGAGGCACUCGUUGUUUCGAGCAAGACAUGGAUUGAUGCUUGUUGGUGUAGGGGGGUAUAAACUUUACCAUUCUGUUUGGGAACCUCCUAUAAUGUGUUUAGCAUGGAAGAUAUCGCCAUCUCUUAGUUGUUAUGUUGACAAUGAAAGUAUACCGCUCAAAAUACAAUUUAUCUCUAUUUAAAAACUGAGCUCUGGCACCUCAACAAAUCCCUGCUUCUCUCUGCAAAGGGCCUAUCCAUUUACUUUUAUGUUGAGUCAUCACCCUCUUAUUAAAAAGCACUAGUUGGAGAGCACAACUGUCAUUUGCAUUCAUCACUAUUAAUCUAUGUUGGGUGUGACUAUGAUUGGAUCUCUUUUACCAUGAAUUACAAUGUCUAGUCAGUCCUUGAUCUUUAAAGGUGCUCUGCAUUUAUGUUUUGCGGUCUCAGAAAGGGCUAGCGAGAUACCAUCUUGUUAUAUCAUAUUAUGAUUGUUUUGAGAAAGUGUUGUCAUCCGAGAUUUAUUAUUAUGACUUGCUAGUUGAUUAUGCUACUGAUAUGAGUAAUUAUGAGACCUGAGAAUUGUUGCAAAUGUGGUUAGUUAUGAUCUAUGCUGAAAACUUGAAUGCUGGCUUGACAUAGUUACAACAACAAGAGCAAACAGAGUUUGUAAAAGUUUUUUCUUUCAGUUUGUCAACUGAAUUGCUUGAGGACAAGCAAGGGUUUAAGCAUGGGGGAGUUGAUACGUCUCCAUCGUAUCUACUUUUCCAAAAACUUUUGCCCUUGUUUUGGACUCUAACUUGUAUGAUUGGAAUGGAACUAACCCGGACUGAUGUUGUUUUCAGCAGAAUUGCCAUGGUGUUGUUUCAUGUGCAGAAAACAAAUAUUCUCGGAAUGACCUGAAACUCCACGAAACAUCUUAGAAAAAAUAAUAAAAAAUCCUCGCCAAAGAUGAAGACCAGGGGGCCCACACCCUUCUCACGAGGGUGGGGGCGCCCCCCCCCUAGGGCGUGCCCCCUACCUCGCGGGCCCCCUGGAUGCCCUCCGACGCCAACUCCAACUCUAUAUAUUUGCUUUCGAAGAGAAAAAAAUCAGAGAGAAGAAAUCACCGCAUUUUACGAUACGGAGCCGCCGCCAAGCCCUAAAACCUCUCGGGAGGGCUGAUCUGGAGUCCGUUCGGGGCUCCGGAGAGGGGGAUUCAUCGCCGUCGUCAUCAUCAACCAUCCUCCAUCACCAAUUUCAUGAUGCUCACCGUCGUGCGUGAGUAAUUCCAUCGUAAGCUUGCUGGACGGUGAUGGGUUGGAUGAGAUUUAUCAUGUAGUCGAGUUAGUUUUGUUAGGGUUUGAUCCCUAAUAUCCACUAUGUUCUGAGAUUGAUGUUGUUAUGACUUUGCUAUGCUUAAUGCUUGUCACUAGGGCCCGAGUGCCAUGAUUUCAGAUCUGAACCUAUUAUGUUUUCAUGAAUAUAUGUGAGUUCUUGAUCCUAUCUUGCAAGUCUAUAGUCACCUACUAUGUGUUAUGAUCCGGCAACCCCGAAGUGACAAUAAUCGGGACCACUCCCGGUGAUGACCAUAGUUUGAGGAGUUCAUGUAUUUACUAUGUGCUAAUGCUUUGUUCCGGUUCUCUAUUAAAAGGAGGCCUUAAUAUCCCUUAGUUUCCAAUAGGACCCCACUGCCACGGGAGGCUAGGACAAAAGAUGUCAUGCAAGUUCUUUUCCAUAAGCACGUAUGACUAUAUACGGAAUACAUGCCUACAUUACAUUGAUGAAUUGGAGCUAGUUCUGUGUCACCCUAUGUUAUGACUGUUACAUGAUGAACCGCAUCCGGCAUAAUUAUCCAUCACUGAUCCGGUGCCUGCGAGUUUUCCAUAUACUGGUUCUCGCUUAUUUACUUUCCCGCUGCUACUGUUACAAUCACUACAAAAUACCAAAAACAUUACUUUUGCUGUCUUUACUUUUGUUGUUGCUACCACCACUAUCAUAUUACUCUGCUACUAAACACUUUGCUGCAGAUACUAAGUUUCCAGGUGUGGUUGAAUUGACAACACAGCUGCUAAUACUUGAGAAUAUUCUUUGGCUCCCCUUGUGUCGAAUCAAUAAGUUUGCGUUGAAUACUCUACCCUCGAAAGCUGUUGCGAUCCACUAUACUUGUGGGUUAUAACUUAUCAUGUCGGGCUGCUCCCUAGGAUAUAAAUAGCUGCCCCCUACAACCACUAGCUGGUUGGCUGCUCCGAGAGAAACUGACACUUAUCAUUUGAGAGCAACCCAUCCUCCAAGGACUUUGAGCGAAAGUCAUCGAGUGAGGAAAAACCAAACCCAAACACCUACAAACCCCAAGUGAUUGAGCAUCACUGAAGAGAUUGAUCCUGCGUGGAUCCGACGCUUGUUACCUUUGAAGAUUGUGCUUCUUCCAGACGGUUAGGCGUCAUGGUCUAGAGCAUCCAAGAGGAAUUGUGGAUCGCCGAGUGACCAAGUUUGUGAAGGUUCGAAAGUCACCUGAAGACUUACCAUGAGUGAUUGGGCAAGGUCUAUGUGACCUUAGCUCAAGGAGAAUACGGUGAGGACUUGGUGUCCUGAGCUGCGUGCUCAGGACUGGGUGUCCGGGACUGUGUGUCCUCGAGUUUAAAUACUCAGCCGCUCCAACCAGACGUACAACUGAGACAGCAGUUGGAACUGGUCUACCAAAUCAUUGUCUUCACCAAGCUUACUGGUUCUAUUCCCUCAACUCGUUCAUUUCCUCAUAAUUGUGUUGUGUGUUUGUUCAUAUCUAUGUUUGAAGACUUUGACUGAAGACUUUCUCAAAUUUCCUCAGUUCAAUUUCUUCAGUCUGUUUGUCUUCAUCAUGUGUUAUCAUGUGCUUACGCUUCCUGUACUCUAUGCCUGUCUUCAUUGCAUCAUGAUGACUAUGCUUGUAUUCUGUUAUGUUUACUUUCGAGUACCUAUUCCGCUGCUAGUAGUUCUUCGCUAAGGAAUUUCCUCACCGGCAAAUUCCUUAGUGAAGAAUUUCAUAAAAAUAGCCUAUUCACCCCUCCUCUAGUCAAUAUAACGCACUUUCAGCUGUGCCGCACAUCGACGCUAUGAAGAGGUCGGCGUGCAUAGAGGGUGCGCGGAUGGUCUUUGCCUGUGUCAAGACAUACUGGGCAAAGAUGGAGGCCACCACUAUUGCAACACAGGAUUGGCCGUGGGCCGAGUGGCUGCCGAGCACUACUUUGAAGAAGUUCUUGAAGGCGCUAAUUCGAUAGAGGCUCAGUGCUCAAAGAAUAUUAUGUUCUAGUGACAUGUACUCCCAUUGUAAGAACAAUGUUUUAUUGAGUUGUCAAGGUUGUGUUUAUACUUUUGCCUGAAAGUAUUAUGAUGCCUCCUGUGCGGCCGUUUAUGUAUAUAUGUAUAUAACCUGAAAGUUUGCAGUCGUCGGCUUCCGCCCCCACGCAUAUAAUGCGGGGGUGUUUGCAAAAACGCGUAUUCACACUUGAUCCAACGUCUUGGUCCAUUAAGGAGGUGGUAGCGCAGCAAACGAGGCAAUCAAACUAUAUUGCUUUAACACUUUCACUUAGCCAUAGGAGUUUGACGGUGGGGCUACUAUAUAGCCCCUGGUACUUCUGCGCUUGUCCGAAAACAGGGCACGUACGUACAUGACCGGCAAACGGCCCUUCGUUAAUGCGGAGGAAUCCCGAAGAUUCCGCUGAGUCAUCGAGUGGUUGAGCAGUCUCGCGCUAUAUCAUGACAGUCAGUUUUCGGCUUUCUCUACUGAGGUGCUCAUCCGGAUGAACCAGGGCACAAUCGCAAUAGUUCUCCCAGUGCUACCUUAGCCGAUAUAGCGAAACGUAAGGUACCAAAACAUGGGAGCCGGGCAAACCCAACAUUUGACCAAAGACAUGAUUCGGAGCUGAUGCAUAUAAGGCCAAACUUGCGACGCCGAACACUCCCUAAGGUAUUUGGUCUUUAUAACAUAUGCCGGGCUGAACAAUGCCCUGAAUAAUAAACCCCGGGUGUCCAGGUACGUGCAAUAUCCUAACGUGGACACAUGCCAAUACGUCGGCAUCCUUCUCGGUUGUAUUGAGUAUUCGGAGGAUGUGAACAACAAGAGACAGUAAAAAAGGUUGACGCAGGGUCUUAAUCUAAAAAGAAAGCUUUGAGCGGGUCCCUGCUACACGUCUGCGCCUGUGUCUCUGUUGUGCCGUGUCCUGGACGGGUGUAGCACGAUUGUCAUCUGUAAAAGAGAAGAACUUAGGUGAAAGUUGCCGUGCCAGAAAAUUGGUUAUUAUUAAUAAACCAGUAAAAUUCAAGAUAAGUCAAGUUGAGCCGGACUAGCCCUGAUUACACGCGGGAAGCCCCUGGUACCGUCUAGGGGGGUUUGAUCAUCAAACCCAUCUCAUGUAUAUGUAGUGGUGCACCGGACUCGUCUAACCGUGUCCGUGGUCUUGACGACCUGUCAUUUUUCCUGGUUGGUGAGGUCGUCUAGUGCUCGGUGGCUAAAGCCGCCGAACAUUCUUCCGCGCAUAGAGCACGCUCAAUAUUUCCGCUAACUGUGAUGGUGCCAUGUGGAUCGGGCAUCUUAAGCUUGGGAGAAGCGUAAUGCGGGAUUGCAUUAAAACGAGCGAAAGCAGCUCUUCCGAGUAGUGCCUGAUAGACACUUCGGAAUGGAGCGAUGUAGAAAUUUAACCUUUCGCUUCGGAAGUUGUCGGAAGAACCGAAUACAACCUCUAGUAAUAGAGAGCCCGUGCAGCGGGCCUCUAGGCCUGGUAUUACUCCCUUGAAGGUAGUAGUACGGUGGCUUAUUUUUGUCGGGUCUAUCCCCAUUUUGCGGACUGUGUCCUGAUAUAUUAGGUUUAGACCAUUGUCGCCGUCCAUGAGGACUCGUGUGAGAUGGUAUCCGUUUAUUAUUGGGUCUAACACCAAGGCAGCCAAUCCUUCAUGCCGGAUGCUUGUCGCGUGAUCCCCGCGAUCAAAAGUGAUCGGGCAGGCCAACUAGGGGUUGAACCUAGGGGUGACGGGCUCUAUGGCGCGUGUGUAUCGGGGUGCAUGUUUGCUUCUACUUUUCGUCACAUGGAGCAUGUUGACUGUUUUAACCUAUGGUGGGAAUUUUUUCUGUCCUCCAGUGCUUUGCUUGCGAGGCUCGUCCUCGUCUUCGCUUGGUGUCUCCCCCCCCCCUUGUGUUCGGCAUUUAGCUUACCGGCCUGCUUGAAGACCCAUCAUUCUCUGUGGGUGUGAUUUGUAGAUUUAUCAGGGGUGCCAUGAAUCUGACAUAGUUUGUCAAGAAUCUUGUUUAGGCCAGAUGGUCCGUCUCUGCUGCCUUUGGAAGGCUUUUUCCGCUGACCUGGUCGAGAGCCCCUGAAUCCGGCGUUUACCGCCGUAUUAUCUGGGUUAUCUUCUUUAUUUCGACACUUGCUUCUAUUGUGUCGUGGUUUUCCAUUGCCACCCCUGACUUCGGAUGUGCUUGGGUCACUGGUGCUACUGCGGGCUAACCAGCUGUCUUCGCCCGCGCAAAAGUGGGUCAUGAGACUUGUUAGAGCUGCCAUUGUUCUCGGUUUUUCUUGGCCGAGGUGUCUGGCGAGCCAUUCGUCUCGGACGCUGUGUUUGAAAGCUGCUAAGGCUUCGGCGUCCAAACAGUCGACGAUUUGAUUCUUUUUGGUGAGAAACCUGUUCCAAAGCUUUCGGGCGGACUCUUCGGACUGUUAAAUUAUAUGACUUAAAUCGUUUGCAUCCGGAGGUCGGGCGUAGGUCCCUUGAAAAUUAGCCCGAAAAGCGUCCUCAAACUCCUCCCAACUUCCAAUUGAGUUUUCGGGGAGGCUUUUCAGCCAGUGCCGAGCUGGUCCUUUAAGCUUGAGGCGCAAGUAUUUAAUGGCAUGGAGAUCGUCUCCGCGAGCCAUAUGGAUAUGGAGGAUAAAGUCCUCAAUCCAGACCCAAGGGUCUGUGGUCCCGUCGUACGCUUCUAUGUUCACUGGUUUGAAUCCUUCUGAGAAUUCGUGGUCCAGCACCUCAUCGGUGAAACAUAGGGGGUGUACGGCACCCCUAUACUUGGAUGUACCAUGGCGUUCGGACGGUUGUGGUAUUUGCUUUUGAUUUUGUGCCGGAGCACGCUUCCUAGAUCCAUAGAUGGAUCUGGUCGUACCAGAUUUUUGACACAAGUCCUCACGUACAUCGUGUGUUGACUUAUGUGCAUAUUUGUUAUCCGCUCCAUCACGGUCACAAAGCGGUGGAUCCGGCUGGUUAGCCGUUUUAUUAUUUGGAUGUGUGGCCUCUAAGGCCUCGUCGUCGAAUUCAGGUAACAGCUUGCGCUUUGGAUGGCUCUUUGUGUGGUAACUUCGACCAUACUUUGCUUCGCUGUUGAGCACUUUGUUCCACCUGCUGUUGAGUGUGUUUUGUGGGGCCUUAAGCCUUUGCUUCUGCUUCUUCAGACUUCAGGCAACAGCAAGGGUCCUUAUGGCAUGGUUAUCUCAGAAAUCAAGUCUAAAAUUUUGAGUUUUAACUGUCACAUAGUUUUUGAAGGGCGUCGGUCUAACGGAGAUGCCCAUAGUUUAGCUAAAUUUUCGCUUUCCUUAGCUCGGGGGCGCCACAUGUGGCUUAUUAACCCUCAUACUCCUCUUUGUAUCCUACAAACUGUGAAUUUCGAUGAAUGAAUAAAGUCUUUCAUCCCUAAAAAAAACUGUGGCAAAAUGUCGAGGGAACGCACAGGCGGAUCUCCUUGACUGGGCUGGUCCAUGUGGCUCUCCCGCUCCGGCUAGCGAAGAAACUACAGCGCUCGGUCGCAAAAAAGAAUGCGCCAAGCAGAAUUCAACACACAAGGUCACGUGCUUCAAAAGUAGUACUCCUACCACUUGAGCUAGCGACCUAGGUAUUUUAAUGGGCAGCACAAAUACUUAAGAACCAAACCAAGCACGAAUACGAACGUUUUUCAAAUUUUGAACGCGAAAUAUUAUUUUGGAGAAAAAGUGAAUUAUGUAUGAAACUGCGAACACUUUUCGAAAUUGUGUAUAUUUGAAAAACUUAAACAUUUCGUAAAACACAAACAAUUUCUGGAAACGAUUUUUUUAAACUCCCCCCCCCCCAAAAAAAAUUGAAAAUACGAACAUUUUUUAGAAAACUAGAACAUUUUUUGAAUGGCAAAACCGUUCUUGGAUACGCUGAAAUUUUUGAAAAAUGGGAUUUUUUUUAAUCUCCCAAACAAAAUUUGAGAACACCAACAUUUUCUGGAACCCCAGAGCAAAAAUCGAAGCAUGAAUAACGAUUUCUGAAAUUCCAGAACAAAAUUUGAAAACAUGAAGAUUAUUUAAGAAAAUCACGAACAUUUUUUAAACUCCCGAAGAAAAUUUGAAAACCCAAAUAUUAUUAUAAAUUUGAGACUAUUUUUGUAAUACUGAACAAAAAUAGAGAAGUUGUGAAAUUUUGAACAAAAUUUGAAUUUCUGAACAAUUUAUUAAAAGCACGAGCAUUUUUUGAAUUUCUGAAUACAAUUUGAAAAUGGAAACAUUUUUUGAAGUGUUUUACACUAUGACAAAUCAAACAUUUUUUGAAAUAUAAGUUUUUUUCCAAAAACACAAAAAAGGAAAAAAGAAACAAAAAAGAGCACAAAAGAAGAGAGAAAAGAAUAAAUGAACAGGAAAAAGAAAGAAAGAAAAACAAAAAAGAUGAAGAACCCGGUUCAGGAACCUACGAGAAGGUUCCCAAAACCGGGAACCGGCUGGAACAUGGCAAUAAAUUGUUCAACACGGCUGGAAAAAAAGUGUUUUCGUAAGUUUGCCAUGUUACAAUUUUGUCCAGAAUUUUUGUUUUACAUUUUUCCCAUGUGCUAGAGAAUGUUUAUAAUUAUUAUUAUGGUCAGAUUGCAAUUUUAUAAUUUUUUAUCCAUGGAACAUGGCAAUUUGUGAAAAUGAAUGAGACUUAGGAUGGCAAUUCUCUGUAAUAGAUGCUAAGUGCAACAAUUAGGAUGUGCUUGAAGAUGGGAUUCACUUACAUAUGUACAUACGAUUAGUGGCCAAGAUUUUGAAUCCUGGUCAACAUGUAUAAUUAUACACCUUUAUUUCUAAGCAGAGUGGAUGUACAAUAUUGGGUGUAUCAUGUUUAAUUAACAGAGUCGUGCAAUGAAGUAACCAAGCGCAUAAAUAGAAGCAGCUGGGCUCCAGAGAUUCUUGGAAGUUGGUGAAGUAAUAAUGGCUUAAAUCAAAAGCUAGGAUACUUGUUGAUGACACGCCGCAUAUAUAUACACUUGUCUCCAAGCGUGUAACUGUCCAAUGGAGCAAAUGCAAGAAAGAAAAUUCCCAUUGCCACUAUAAAAUAAGAGAAGUGGAUGUGGGCUAGAAUAGACACAUUUCGGCGUUGUUUGGAUAAGAGGAAUAUAGAGAACGCAAUCUACCUAAGCUAAGGAAACUGCCUAACCGUAAAAAAUCUUGUUUGGCUCGUCCAACAACCCCGUGGAUAGGGGAAACUCGUUUCCCAAAAACCCAUAAUUCCGGAUUUGUGGGAAAACUAGUAUUACUCGUUUUUCCACAAAUGCGAUUAGCAUAUACAGAUGCAACUGCCUUUCUCCGCCCCCACCUAUUCCUCAAAAACCUCAUAUGGCGCCAAUUCUGCUUUUUGCGUCUCACCUCGCGCCCUUUUCACUGCCUAUAAAAGACAGACUUUGUUUCCCGCAUGUUAUACACCCAGAUCGCAAAGGGCUGGCUGUGAUCCCCGUGACAGGCACUGGAGGGGAAACGUUGACCUUGGAUCUGAAGUUGGUCAUCUUCAAUAAGGCUCCACAUCUCCUUCAGGCUUUCCGUGCAUCGUCUUCCCACCUUCAAUCAGUCUUCCCAUCUUCAAUCAGGUUCCAUGCCUUCACCAUCCUACACAGCAGUACGAAUUUGUAUUUGUAAAUAUUUUCAUGGUACUGUUGAUUGAAUUAAUCUAUUUGGUAGUGAACCCUAUUUUGAAUAAAACCUCUGAUAAUUUCAUAUGGGCAAUUCCUAGGACAUAGUAGAUCCAACAACCUGGUAAUCUGUUAAUCUAAAUGAUAACACGUACUGUUGAAGGAAAAAUUAGAGGCAACUCUGAUUAGGGAGUAUCGUAAAUAUGAACAUGUGGCACAUAAGAGAAUCAGAUUGCACUAUGAAUGCCUAUAUAAAUACUAAAAUGAUCUAACACCGAACCACAAUUAGAUUAUCGAUGACUAUAUAUAUCAAGUGCAGUAGAUAAUUUUUCAUGACAAGGAUGCAGUUUAAAGCACACUGUAAGGAUAAUUUCCCAUAAGUAUCAAUCAUAUUUAUCCAGAAUAUAUAGUGUGCAUUAAGAGCUAAGCAGUAAGCAGAUGGAGAUUAGAAUACCUUGUGAUGUCAUCUGAUGUUGAUAGCAGUACUUGGGGCAAGCGAGACCAGAUUUAAUAGCAAAUUAAAGAUCUUGGCAGCAACCUAGGAAAAUAACUGAUAAGGGAUGUGAACAUCCCGUUAGACAGACAAGCGACAAAAAUUCAAGUGUCCAGUCAUAGCAUGAACAAAAGAUUAGUGGCAUGCUCAUUUUCUUCCACUUCAUAGAUUUAUUCCUUUUGAACCAAAUGACUCAUCUUCCAUUAUUGCUUCUUGUAUCCCCUCUAUAGAAAAAUAUGGAUGAUGAGAAGGAAAAAAAUUAAGAAGGAAAACACAGAUAAAGCUAAGCGCCAUGUAUGGAAAUCUUCAGAGGACAAAAUACUGCUGAAUAUAUUAAAAGAUCAAAGCCUACAUGGAGGAAAAGAAGGAACAGGUUACACAAAGAAAGCAUGGCGUGAUAUCUUAGAACAAUUCAAUGAUUCAAGGGUAGAAAAACUUGAAUUACAACAACUGAAAAAUCGUCAUAAGUACUACAAGAGUUGCCACAGCACCAUGGACAGACUUCAAAAACUCACGGGAUUUGGUUGGGAUGACGACGAAAAAAUGAUAAAAGCUCCAGAAGAUAUUUGGGAAGAACUAAUUAAGUCAAGUUUGUUCAAGUAGAAUUCAUAUAAAGUUUCCAUAUCCUAUUAUUAACAAAAACAUUAAACAACUUGCAGAAGGAUAAGGCUAUCCAAGAAUAUCAAGAUAAGGUGUGGCCUAGUUGGAUAGAUCUUCAAGCCAUAUGUGCUAGUUCAACAGCAUCUGGAGCUGGUGCUGUAUCUAGCAAAGGAAAAGAUGGUGCAUGUACAACCAAAUCUUCACAAAUUGACCUCAAUACGGAAGUUGAAGUACAUGACAUCGAUUCUGAUGAAAUCAAUGCUUCCCCUUGUGUCUUCACCAAGAAGUCAACUACCAUUGAGCCAAAAAAAAGAAGUCCCCUGGAAGUGGAUCCAAGGAAACUGCAAGAGGACAAAAACGGACAGCCGAUGAUGCCAUAAUAGCAAUUGAUCGCCUUGCAGAUGCAUCACUUAGCAUUGUUGAAGCAAAGAAAACAGUAGCACAACAAACUGAAGCUUACUCGGUUAAAUCUUGUAUGGCAAUACUAAAUAGUAUGAGUAAUCUAGAUCCCAAUAAGAAACUAAAAGCGGUAAAGGCAUUUACAGAUGGUGAUAAACGGGCCAUUUUCAUUGAGAUGGAUGAAGAGACGCGGAAGCUCUGGAUUCUUGAUCCUUAGAAUUUUUAUAAUACACCUUUGAGCAUAGUAUUUUAUUUCGGUCGUUGUCGCACUUUACAAGAUUCAGAAAACAAUUUCACUUAUAUUUUGUCAGUUUGUGUGAAGUAAUAAAUAUUGUUUUCAGUUUGGUAUUGUUCAUUGUUCGGUUCAGCACUAUUACAUUUUAAAACAAUUAUCCAGAGAUGAUAUGGUCAACUGUGCAAAUCGUGCAGGGAUCUAUGAACAUUUCAGAUGUGACAGAUGAUGAACUUUCUGAUUCCGAGCAAGUGCUUACUAAUAACAUUUCUGCAGUGUCCUUGUUUCGCGAUGUGUUGUUCACAAGGUUAUUCAGAACGCCCCGUAACACUUCUAUAUUAACUGGUGCUCAGAAAACAAUAGAGUUUUUAGAGGGACAUCCAGUUAGAUUUUAUGAACAAUUUCGUCUUGAGAAGCACACAUUCUACUUGUUGCGGGAUGCUUUGUGCGAGAGGAAGUUACAAAAGGAUACAAAUCGAAUGACAGUGGACGAACAACUACUCAUGUUUCUACAUACAAUUGGUCACAAUGUUAGAAACCGUGUCAUCCAAGAUAGAUAUUAGCAUUCUGGCGAACCAAUCAGCCGACACUUCAACAAAGUUUUAGACGCCGUAAAUGGUUUGCGUGAUGUUUGCAUAACAGAUUCAAGCAAUCAAGUCCCAUUAAAAAUAUUGGGUGACGCAAGAUUCUACCCAUAUUUCAAGGUAUGUUUGCUAUUAGAAGCAGAUACUCUUUUACAUAUGAAUUUCAUAAAUAGAAGGUCGACACCAUUUAAACUUUAUUUUUUGACUAACAAAAAAUCCCAACAGAACUGCCUAGGAGCAAUUGAUGGGACACAUAUUGAGGCAAAAGUCAGGCUUGAUAAGCAAACUCCUUAUAGAAACAGACAUGGUUAUCCGUCUCAAAAUAUAAUGGCAGUAGUGUCAUUUGACAUGACAUUCUCUUAUGUCGCUGCUGGAUGGGAGGGUUCUGCAUCGGAUCAAGCUGUUCUAAGAUGGGUUGUGACUAGUGGGGGUUUAGUUGUUCCUGAAGGUAAAGUACAAUUAUUUGUGUAUCUACAAUAUAUAUAAAGAUGCUGAGUUUGAUAUGAAAUUAAUGUGCAGGUAAAUUUUACCUUGUUGAUUCAGGCUACGCAAAUACUCCAAGAUUUAUUGCCCCGUAUCGUGGAGAUCGCUAUCAUAUUGCUUCUUUUCGUGGAAGUAAUCGGCGAUAUACUAGUGAGAAGGACUUGUUCAACCAUCUACAUGCACAGUUGUGGAAUGUUGUUGAACGAACUUAUGGUGUUCUAAAAGCUCGUUUUCCAAUUCUAAGUAGGAAAGGAGGAAUUCCUUAUCCAUACAGAACUCAAGUGAAAAUUGUUAUGGCUUGUUGCAUUAUCCACAACUUCAUAAGGAAGGUUAAUCAUCCUGAUGAGUUAUUCGAGCUUUAUGAGCAUGGGGAAACAGAACAAAAUACUGACCAUGGUGAUCAACAAGUUCAUGGGCAAGCAAGAGAAGAUGAUAGAGUUGCUGGUGAGAGAGUUCGUGCUGCCAUCGCCUGAGAGUUGUGGACUAAACAUCAACAACGUAGUGCUCAACCAGAAGAUGAUUAAAUACUGUAAUAUUUGUUUUCCAUCUUCAAUUGCAGAUAUAUCUGCAUAAUUAUUGUUGCAACUUUUAAUUCUUUAUAUGGACAUGAACUUCCCAUUCUUUUAUAGGCUUAUAUGCUCUAUCUCUCUAUCUCUCUCACCCUCUGCCUCUCCCUCUCUAUCUGGAGCUACAAGAUGAAAUGUUAUUGUCUACCAAUCUUUUCAGCAAGUAAAGCAACCAAUAAACUACUUCAAAUUGGUGCAUUUUUAUGUGACAUUCAAGUGUUCCCCUUGUACCUACGCACCAGGUUCUUCAAUGGACCAAGUAGAUAUGUAGCUAAUUGCUAAGUCCUGUCAGUUAUGAAGUAGUAUACCCUCCGCAAGUGCGUGAUGUAGACCAUGAAAACAUGCUAAGAAAACAAAAAGGGAGAUAACUGUAGCUUCUCUCGUCAAGUGCAUGAUGUAGUUCAUGUUAAUUUACUAGUACAAAACUUGAAAAUAAUAAUCAAACAUACCUGCUCCUCUGAAUCCCCAUCCGCUAGCUUGGAAUCCCCAUCCACUACAGCUGCCUGCUGCCCCCGGCGCCGCCGAUACAGGCUGAUGUCGGUGCAGCCUGCACGACCGGCGUUGAGGGGAGGCAGGCAUGUGCGUUGACCUGAAGCAGGACCGCUCGCUAGGUACAGCUUGUGCGGGGUCGACGACCGACGAAACGGAGUACGCCUGGGGACCUAGCCGUCCAGGGGAGGGGAGGCGAGCAGCAACCAACAUCCAGGGGGCGGAGGCGCGCAGUAGUAGGCGUCCGCGCGCGGCGGCGUGUACCUGUCGACCUGGGAGUCCAGCAGCAACCGGUGUCCAGGACGGCGGAGGCGCGCCGUACCCGGCGUCCGCGCGCGGAUUCUUCCACGGGCGAGACGAGGGAGCAGCGGUGUGAGCGAGCGGAGGAGGAAUCGGGGGGCAGCAGCAGCUCAACGAGCUUGGAUGGAUGAGGCCAUGGUGUGCGAUUUGGGGAAAGUGAGUCACUCACUGGAGGAGAAUGGGAAUAGGAGGAGCUAGUAGUCGUGGGCAUCCAAACAAGGAACUGGUCCGACCAGUUUUCCAAAUUUCCAUACCAAACGUAGUUAUUUAUAAACUGGUUAUUUGUAAAAACUGACGUAAAAUGGGUUUUCCUAGAAAUCGGCUAAAACCUCAUUUUUUAUAAUCCUAUCGCUAAUCUUCACUAUCCAAACAACGCCUUAGUCACAUGAGCCAUGCGAAGGUGUGAAGUUCAUAUUGUCUUUUGUAACAGAUUGAAUGUGCAAAUUACAUAGAAGAGUCAAGCUCUUGUAUGGUAUUCCAAAAUUAGUAUGAGUCAUCCAUUUCCCCAAAUCUAAUGGUUGGUACUCUUUGAUACUUGGGAAAAGGAGUAUGGACUCAAAAAUUUAUCGAGUGUCUUGACCGACGUAGAACAGCAAUCGCAUCACCCCGUUAGUACUUCCUAUGAGGGUAUUUUGGUCUUGUUGUUGCCUCUCAAUUAUGUACAUGGAAGCAUUUGGCUCAAAUAUAUAUAUACAAUGACUAACAAGAAUCCUGGUCUCUCGCGGGUCGCGGCUGCCACCACAAACCAGGUUAAGAGAGGGGCUGAGACGAGUCGAGGCGAGCGAGGGUGUACCCCAGCGGUGGUGAAUAUCGUCAGUGAAGGUGGAUUAGAUGGUNNNNNNNNNNNNNNNNNNNNNNNNNNNNNNNNNNNNNNNNNNNNNNNNNNNNNNNNNNNNNNNNNNNNNNNNNNNNNNNNNNNNNNNNNNNNNNNNNNNNNNNNNNNNNNNNNNNNNNNNNNNNNNNNNNNNNNNNNNNNNNNNNNNNNNNNNNNNNNNNNNNNNNNNNNNNNNNNNNNNNNNNNNNNNNNNNNNNNNNNNNNNNNNNNNNNNNNNNNNNNNNNNNNNNNNNNNNNNNNNNNNNNNNNNNNNNNNNNNNNNCUAAUGUAAGACGAUUACAUUUGUGUACUGACUACUGGGGUAUAAAAAGAUCAUGUUGUGAUUAAAAAUCUUGAUUAAAAUGAUGAAGUUUCAUAUUUAUUGUAUUGGGCCGUGCUUGGGCAGGUCCAGCCCGAAGGCGGCACGGCGGUCCAUUGGGCCUUGCUUGCGCCUCCCCAGCACGGCACGGUUUGCUGUGGCCCAAGGACGAUGGGUGUGGAUCCGACUGGCACGGCCCUGCCUAAGUCUCAGGUUCUGGCGGCGUAUUGCAGCCCUUUGCGUCGAGGACCGUCUUGCUCGCGGUGAAAAGUUUAGUUACCGCUCGAUUAAUUAAAAAUUCCUGGGUAUUUUGGGUGCGAGCGAUGCAUGAAUGUCGGUCCUCCUCCGGUCGGCAUUGUUUUGUUCCUCGCGUGCAGCAUGCACGUGUCCUUCCUCGGUUAGAAUAAUCUAAACCCGGAUAAGCUUCCCCUUCCCUUCCCAAUGGUCCAGAUCCACAGGGUGCCCACGUCCAAGCCCACUUUGGCCGCCUUCUUCUUCUACCUCUGCGCCCCCUCAUCCCCGCACACAGUACACAUGAGCAAAAGAACACACCAAUCCAGUCCGGAUUUUCAAGGCUAAACGGAACAGGCUAAUUAUAGAACUUGCAUAAGUACAUGGAUCGACCCCGUGUGACAACGAAACAAAUGAAAGAAUGCGAUAUGCAUACUACGGUACUACAUUUACACCAUCCCACAGAGCUUCGAUGCGCGCGCACUUUCCCUUCCUUCCUUCGUUCGUUCUCACGGAUCGAAAGCCGAAACCAGACACAUCUCAGACGGCCGACGGGUUCCUGGGUUGUUGUUCUUGUGAGCUGCGGGAG